This 229-nucleotide ribosomal RNA is filed under the name uncultured bacterium. RNAcentral describes it as "partial 16S ribosomal RNA". It matches the Rfam family "Bacterial small subunit ribosomal RNA", at positions 568 to 796 of the family's 1533-position model. The record is from RNAcentral.
UCCGUAGGCGGGAAAUUAAGUCAGUAGUGAAAUCCCACAGCUUAACUGUGGAACUGUUAUUGAUACUGGUUUUCUUGAAUAUAGUUGAGGUAGGCGGAAUGUGUAAUGUAGCGGUGAAAUGCUUAGAUAUUACACAGAACACCGAUUGCGAAGGCAGCUUACUAAGCUAUGAUUGACGCUGAGGUACGAAAGCGUGGGGAGCGAACAGGAUUAGAUACCCUGGUAGUCC